GAAGCACUUCUCUUUUAUCUCGUGCUCAUACUUGUUUCCAUUUGCCAAGAGGUCUCAAGUAUUUUUUCCUCCCAAGAGCCAGAGAUAUCUACUCCCACUGAAGAUGAUUUUUUAAAGUUGUUAACACCAUGUUCAAGGAUAGAUAACAAAAAUUCUUCUGUAUAGGUCAAAAUGCAAAAAAGGUAAAUUUUUCUCAAGAUACAGAAGGGAUUCUGACUGCUUUUCCAAAGACAAAGGACAAAGAGUGAAAUGCAAAGAACAGUCUCCCAAACCCAGUACAUGCCUAAAAGUAUAACCAAAGACUAUUAGAAUAGCAAUCUGGACCCAAGACUUCAUGCAGCAUUUUUCACAAUCUUUCAGGCUUUCAACAAUGUUUUUUUUUCUUAGCAAAUGAAAUAAAAAUAACAAUAGUCUUCCCAAACAGAGAGCAAAAUAUCUUUUCCAAAACAUUAUAUUUGACAGGAUCAAUGGAGAUCAAAGUGGAUCUUAAUGGGGCACUGCAUUGAUGGUAAGGUUCCCCAGUGAUAUUUGACACUAUGGAGUCAAUAAUAAUGUCUUCUUUUUGGCUAAAAAAAAAAAAAUCUAACUGAAGUUGCUGUUAAGUUCAAGACAACCCAGAAUUAUCCUGGAAUAAGUUUGCUUACUUCUUCAAUCACUCUUUGUCUGAGAGGCUUUGAAUAAAUUAAUAAAUAAUAGCAUAUAAUUAGUAAGUAGCUAUUUUAGGAAUCCUAAAAGAUUUUGGGGACAUGAAGCUUUUUUUUUUUGAAGAGUUAGUAGUAUUGUUUUUUUUUUUUUAAUUUGUUUUAAUUAGAUACACAUGACAGUACAAUGAUCUUGACAUAUCAUACAUUUGAAUCAGAUGGGGUGUAAUUUCUUAUUUUUCUAAGUGUACAGGUUGCAGAAUCACAUUGGUCAUACAGUCACGUAUAUACACACAGCAAUACUAGUGUCUAUUUUAUUCUGCUGUCCUUCCUUUCCCCCAAGAAGCUUCUUAAAAAAGGAAAUUUGGGAGAUUAAUAAAACUGGUUCUACUAUUGAAUGGCAGUAAGAAUCAUGGGGAAGCAACCUUCAGAGGGGUGGGAUAUUUUAGUUAUAAUGACAAAAGAUGAAUGAAACUUAUUAAUAUGUGAAAUGGAAAAAUGUGCAAUAAAAGAGAAAAAAUACAACAUUUUUAUAGGAUUAGAGUGUAUAGAAUGUACAAGCAUCUGAGAACAUUUCCCAGGAAGAGUUCAUGGAAAGCACAGCAAUGAGAAAGGCACCAGAGGCACUCCAGGUGCAGGUGAUGGGUUAGACUCUUCAUUAAAGGUUUUAUAAAUUGAAUCUCAGUUGAUCCUUAAACAAUACAGGGAAUCAGGUGUUUUUGCUUCUAUUUUACAGAAAAGAAAAUGGCAUCUUUGAAAAGUUAAAGUUACUCUAUGUAUGAAUGUACGAGUUAGAAUUCUAGCCCAUAUCAGUCUAAAUCCAUAUAUUUUACUUAAUAAUUGGAUUACUUUAAAAAAAAUCAAUUGUCUCCUUUAAGUAUUAAGAAUGUUUGGUCCAAAUACCUGUUAGAAAUCUCCGUGAGUGGGAAAUUAAACCGAUUCUUUCAAAUUUAUUUGGGCCCUGUUUG
This 1609-nucleotide long non-coding RNA is filed under the name Marmota monax (woodchuck). The record is from RNAcentral. Lineage: Eukaryota; Metazoa; Chordata; Mammalia; Rodentia; Sciuridae.